This 630-nucleotide ribosomal RNA is filed under the name uncultured bacterium. RNAcentral describes it as "bacterial SSU rRNA". It matches the Rfam family "Bacterial small subunit ribosomal RNA", at positions 94 to 798 of the family's 1533-position model. The record is from RNAcentral.
AGUAGCGAACGGGUGAUCACUAUAGAAAUAGGCCCAAAUAUUUCGUUUAAAACUUACAAAAUUUAUUGUUUUUGGGAGAGUCUAUAUAAAAUUAAGUAGUUGGUAGAUUUAUAGUUUACCAAGCUUAUGAUUUUUAGUUGAUUUGUGAGAAUGAACAACCACAUUGGAAUUGAGAUAAGGUCCAAACUCUAUAUUAGAGGCAGCAGUGGGGAAUCUUGGGCAAUGAACGAAAGUUUGACCCAGUUAAACUACUUAUGUGAUGAAAAUGAAUAAUUGUAAAACAUAUUCUUUAGAUUAAAUCAUGAUUUAAUCUAUUGAUUUAGUUCUGGCUAAUUUCGUGCCAGCAGCCGCGGUAAAACGAGAAGGACUAGCGUUAUUCAAAUUGACUGGGCGUAAAGUAUAUGUAGGUGGAAAAAUAAACUGACAAACUAAAGUUUAGACUUCAAGUUAAAAAAAUUUUGUCAAAUUAAUUUUCUUGAGUUUAGGAACAGGUUAUAGAAUUUUAAGUGUAACGGUAAAAUGUAUUGAUAUUUCAAAGAAUCUCAAUAGUUGAAGACGACUAUCUAGAUUAAAACUGAACCUGAGAUAUGCAAGCGUGAGUAGCAAACGGGAUUAAUACCUUGUAUCCAU